AAUGGAUUUAUCGAAACAAAGAAAGCUAUCUUUUGGCAAUUGUGCUGGUAUAAAUUUGGCUGGCAACAAAAGCAUUCUCUUCAAUCAUUGUCUCGAGGCUUUUUCAUAAUCACAGUGCAUAAGCGGAUGCAUACAUUUCCACAUACGUAUCACGAAUAAAUUACAAGUAUUGGCAUUUGUGAUCUCUCUCAUGUAAAGUUGCCAUGGCAAACCCUCCGCCCAUCCAUCUUCUUGACGUAAAGUUGCCAUGGCAAACCCUCCGCCCAUCCAUCUUCUUCUUCCUUCCUCCCAAUCCAUCUUCUUUGCCUCAUCCCCUUCUCUCUACCUCUUUCUGAACAAAAACAAAAAUGGUGAUACACCGUUGAUUUGGACGGUAGCGACAGGGACUUUCGCAUAUGAGAGGUGUGAUUCUUAACGAAUAUGAUUUGUAGGGGUAUAUUUUCAUUCAUCAUUGAAUUUAAUUUCCGAUGUUUCUGUUAAAAAAAAAUCGCCAUGAAGCACAAUCAAAUUUUUUUAAAAACAGGGUAUGCCGUGCGGCUAUACUGACUCUUUUAAAAUUUAAAAGAAGCGUAUAGCCAAGCGGAUGUACUAUUUCUUUUAAUAAAAAACAGAGUAUAGCCGGACGGCUAUACUAUUUCUUUAAAACAAAUUAAAAAAAUCAGCGUAGCGCCGGCUGGCUAUACUAUUUCUUUAUAAUUUAAAAAAAAAAAUAAAGCGCACAGUAUAGCCGCACGGCUAUUCUAUUUAAUAAAAAAAUAAUAAUAAGAAAGAAGGACCUCUAAGUUGCAUUAGUUUAUA
RNAcentral lists this long non-coding RNA (798 nucleotides) under Prunus dulcis (almond). RNAcentral's name for it is "sRNA ncRNA". The record is from RNAcentral. Lineage: Eukaryota; Viridiplantae; Streptophyta; Magnoliopsida; Rosales; Rosaceae.